GUCUACAGCCAUAUCACCCUGAAUGCACCCAGUCUCGUCUGGUCUCAGAAGCUAAGCAGGAUGGAGCCUGGUUUGUACUUGGAUAGAGAAAAUAUCUUCAGAGGAGACUGCUCAGAGACAAACAGUUUGGAGACA
RNAcentral lists this ribosomal RNA (135 nucleotides) under Castor canadensis (American beaver). Lineage: Eukaryota; Metazoa; Chordata; Mammalia; Rodentia; Castoridae. The record is from RNAcentral.